Molecule: non-coding RNA, 87 nt
Filed under: Halomonas sp. 1513
Lineage: Bacteria; Pseudomonadati; Pseudomonadota; Gammaproteobacteria; Oceanospirillales; Halomonadaceae
Source: RNAcentral
UGCUAUGGCGGCUGUGCGCGGGACACCUCCGGGUGUGCCGGUUUCCUAUGUGACCGGUCGGCCAACCUGCGUACAGUCGCCCCCAUC